RNAcentral lists this ribosomal RNA (253 nucleotides) under uncultured bacterium. Its description in RNAcentral is "partial 16S ribosomal RNA". It matches the Rfam family "Bacterial small subunit ribosomal RNA", at positions 524 to 776 of the family's 1533-position model. The record is from RNAcentral.
UACGAAGGGGGCUAGCGUUGUUCGGAAUUACUGGGCGUAAAGCGCACGUAGGCGGAUAUUUAAGUCAGGGGUGAAAUCCCAGAGCUCAACUCUGGAACUGCCUUUGAUACUGGGUAUCUGGAGUAUGGAAGAGGUGAGUGGAAUUCCGAGUGUAGAGGUGAAAUUCGUAGAUAUUCGCAAGAACACCAGUGGCGAAGGCGGCUCACUGGUCCGGUACUGACGCUGAGGUGCGAAAGCGUGGGGAGCAAACAGG